RNAcentral lists this ribosomal RNA (570 nucleotides) under uncultured Alphaproteobacteria bacterium. Its description in RNAcentral is "bacterial SSU rRNA". It matches the Rfam family "Bacterial small subunit ribosomal RNA", at positions 8 to 626 of the family's 1533-position model. The record is from RNAcentral. Lineage: Bacteria; Pseudomonadati; Pseudomonadota; Alphaproteobacteria.
AGAGUUUGAUUAUGGCUCAGAACGAACGCUGGCGGCAGGCUUAACACAUGCAAGUCGGGCGCCCCGCAAGGGGAGCGGCAGACGGGUGAGUAACGCGUGGGAACCUACCUGAAGGUACGGAACAACUCCGGGAAACUGGAGCUAAUACCGUAUGUGCCCGAAAGGGGAAAGAUUUAUCGCCUUCAGAUGGGCCCGCGUCAGAUUAGCUAGUUGGUGGGGUAAUGGCCCACCAAGGCGACGAUCUGUAGCUGGUCUGAGAGGAUGAUCAGCCACACUGGGACUGAGACACGGCCCAGACUCCUACGGGAGGCAGCAGUGGGGAAUAUUGCACAAUGGGCGCAAGCCUGAUCCAGCCAUGCCGCGUGAGUGACGAAGGUCUUCGGAUUGUAAAACUCUUUUGGCGGGGACGAUAAUGACGGUACCUGAAGAAGAAGCCCCGGCUAACUUCGUGCCGGCAGCCGCGGUAAUACGAAGGGGGCUAGCGUUGCUCGGAAUCACUGGGCGUAAAGCGCACGUAGGCGGCUUUCUAAGUCAGAGGUGAAAUCCUGAGGCUCAACCUCAGAACUGCCU